This 364-nucleotide ribosomal RNA is filed under the name Nahual sp. 1 RMR-2019. RNAcentral describes it as "partial small subunit ribosomal RNA". Lineage: Eukaryota; Metazoa; Arthropoda; Arachnida; Schizomida; Hubbardiidae. The record is from RNAcentral.
AAUUGAUGAAUUGAUUAUAAUUGAUUGAAUUCUAUGUGUAGUUCAGUGUUAAGUUUAGAAAUGUUGGCGGUGUUUUAUUAGAUUCUGAGAAUCUUGCAUAAUUAAAAUGAUAAUACACAAUUUAUCUUAUCUUAGUUUUGUUGGUUUAUAUAUUGCUGUUUAACUUAUAAUUUGAUGUUAAUAGAAUAUGUAAAGAGAUUUAUAAAAUGAAAAGUUCAAGUCAAAAUAUAGUUUUAUUAAGGUUUAUGUGAGUUGCUUUUUUUUAGAAAAUAAGAAUAAUAGAGUAAAAUGAAAUUUUAUAUAAAAAGGGAUUAGGUUGUAAAAAAAAAUUAAUAAAUUUUCUUGAUAAGUUAUAUAGGCAUGU